UCUCUAUAUAAGUGCUUAAAAAGAAAAACAAUAUACAACAGUUCAGAAUUAUAAAUACAAAUAAUUAUAUCACAAAUCAAUGAUUAUAAUAUUUACCCUGUGUAACCCCCUCGGGGGAAAAAAAAAAAAAUAUAUAUAUAUAUACAUUAGGCAAAGGCAUUUUCGCGGGUUGGUAACUUUUAAUCACUCUCGACGCGCGCCGAACGUUUUAUAUUACUUUGUAAUAUAGAACAAUCGUCGGUCGCCGUGUUUUUUAAC
Molecule: non-coding RNA, 258 nt
Organism: Cinara cedri
Lineage: Eukaryota; Metazoa; Arthropoda; Insecta; Hemiptera; Aphididae
Source: the annotation of a GenBank genome assembly